This 537-nucleotide ribosomal RNA is filed under the name uncultured Gram-positive bacterium. RNAcentral describes it as "bacterial SSU rRNA". It matches the Rfam family "Bacterial small subunit ribosomal RNA", at positions 8 to 521 of the family's 1533-position model. The record is from RNAcentral.
AGAGUUUGAUCCUGGCUCAGGACGAACGCUGGCGGCGUGCUUAACACAUGCAAGUCGAACGGGGUGUUUAUUUCGGUAAACACCAAGUGGCGAACGGGUGAGUAACGCGUAAGCAAUCUACCUUCAAGAUGGGGACAACACUUCGAAAGGGGUGCUAAUACCGAAUGAAUGUAAGAGUAUCGCAUGAGACACUUACUAAAGGAGGCCUCUGACAUAAGCUUCCGCUUGAAGAUGAGCUUGCGUCUGAUUAGCUAGUUGGUGAGGGUAAAGGCCCACCAAGGCGACGAUCAGUAGCCGGUCUGAGAGGAUGAACGGCCACAUUGGGACUGAGACACGGCCCAGACUCCUACGGGAGGCAGCAGUGGGGAAUCUUCCGCAAUGGGCGAAAGCCUGACAGAGCAACGCCGCGUGAACGAUGAAGGUCUUAGGAUCGUAAAGUUCUGUUGUUAGGGACGAAGGGUAAGAAUCAUAAUAAGGUUUUUAUUUGACGGUACCUAACGAGGAAGCCGCGGCUAACUACGUGCCAGCAGCCGCGGU